Oryctolagus cuniculus (rabbit) is the source of this 1968-nucleotide non-coding RNA. NCBI's taxonomy places the organism in Eukaryota, Metazoa, Chordata, Mammalia, Lagomorpha, Leporidae. The record is from RefSeq and is a predicted model, not a curated record.
CAAUGCUGUUCCGGGCCCGUUUGGCUGUGCUCUUAAACAUCAAAGGAUGACAGAUGGCAUACCAUCGAUCUAAGGCGAUGCAGCUCAGUGUGAGAACAGACACAGACACUGACACAGUCUAGAGAAUGGAGAAGGAACAUAGUACAAGAGAAGCAUCAGGUGUCAAAAGGAUCACUCAUUGUCUUUACUGCAUUAGAAAAAUGGUCACAGUAGGUAAACAAAUUCAAAGCUGUCAAAAGGUGAGGAUGUGGAGAAAGGGGAAUCCUAAUACACUGUUGAUGGAAAUGCUAAUUAGUGCAGCCAUUAUGUAAAACAGCAUGGAGCUUUCUCAGAAAACUGAAAUAGAUCUGCCAUGUGAUUCAGCUGUCCCAUUUUGGGGAAUAUAUCCAAAGGAAGUGAAGUCAGCAUAUGAAAGAGAUACCUGGACUCACAUGUAUAUUGCAGCUAAAUUCACAAUGGUAAAGAUGUGGAAUCAACCUAGAUGUCCAUCAGCUGAUGACUGGAUAAAGAAGGGAAUAGUAUGAUGUGUCUAUCCUGUAAAUUUUCAGUGUGCUGACCCCAUAAUAUGCACCAAAGAGAAAGAGACAGAAAAAGACAGACUGAAAACUCACACCUGCUGGUUCACACUCCAAAUGCCUGAAGUGGCGAGGGUUGGGACUUGGCUGGAUCCAGUGGCAGGGAACACAAUCCAAGAAUCCAAUUACUUGAUCCUUCACUGCAGCACCCCAGAAUCUGCAUUGCCAAGAAGCUGGAGUCCAGAACCCAAGCCAGGAAGCAAAUCCAAGCAUUCUGAUAAAAAUGCCUGGAGUUGAAGAAUAUUUUAAAAUGAAAGAUUAUUUAGCUCACAAUUUUGGAAGCUGACAGUCCCUAUUUAUCUUCUGUUGAAGGCAUCCUGUCAAUGGCACCAGAAGGAUCCUAGCUCAUGUAGAAGAUAUCUCAAGGGUGCACAUUAACUGGACGUUGGACUUGGAAGUGGAGCUUGGACUUGAACCCAGGGAGACUAAAUGGAAUUUCUGUAUUGUUACUGGAUUUCCUUUGAUUCAUUCAUUCAUUCUUCAUUUACCCUCUUCACUUCCUGCCCUUUAUUCCAAAAGCUCUGGGAAUACAAACAUGGAAACAAGAGAGAGAGAGGAACUAUUCUCAUGGAACUUACCUUUCACAUGAGGGACACAAUAGAAGAAUGAGUAGGAUGAUUUGGUUUCCUGUCCAUGACCAGUCACAGCUUUCAUUAUGCCUGAGGGAGAAGGGAGAACAUAAAUUUGCAACCUGGAGUAAUCUCAUUGACUUUCAGGAAUCUCUGAGUCACUGUUACCAUCUCCAAGGACUACUUCAAAGAAUGAGGACUUCUAGGCUUUCCUGUGUCCAAAAUAUAAAUCAGGGCCAAGAACACAAAAGUCCUAAUCACUAUUAGGUUCCCUUCCUCCACCAGCUCGUAAAAAAUUGUUACUGCACUUGCUUCAAGGUUACUAAUAUAGGGGAAGAGUUGUAUAAAGCAUUCUAAUUGAAGAGUUAGAUUUUUUAGCCAUAUUUUCACAAUGAAAUGUCGACUCAGUUUAACACAAUAACAAAAUGAUUUCCUAAGCACUUUGCCAUACCUUCAGACACUUGUACCAUAAAGAUUAGCAUGCCUUCAAAGUUUAAGAAAAAGAAGUUGUCUGAAAAUCCUAUUAGGAGCAAUAUAGUUAUCAGCCAGAGUGAAUGAGUCAUCAAAUUCAUUCUGAAUUGAUUAAAUAAAUUAUUAAAGCUACCAAUUUUUGACCCUAUUUCUAGCAAUGAAGUAGAAAACUCAAGGCCCCCAUAGUUACAAACUGUAUGACAUAUUAAAGUCAUCUAAAAGUCAUUGAAUAAGAAAAAAAAAGCCUUCUUGAGAAUCUAGAAAAGCAUGUUAAAAAUUUUAAUCACUGUUCUAUACUCACUGUGAACUUGGAAUAGCAAAAAAAAAUAAAUAAAUAAAAUAAACUACCACAA